RNAcentral lists this ribosomal RNA (720 nucleotides) under Triticum aestivum (bread wheat). Its description in RNAcentral is "partial small subunit ribosomal RNA". Lineage: Eukaryota; Viridiplantae; Streptophyta; Magnoliopsida; Poales; Poaceae. The record is from RNAcentral.
AUGGCGACCACCACCAUGUCCCUCUCCUCGACCUUCGCCGGCAAGUCGGUGAAGAACGUGGCUUCAUCAGCUCUCUUUGGUGAGGCCCGUGUCACUAUGCGCAAGACCGCUGCAAAGGCCAAGCAGGUUUCAUCAGGCAGCCCAUGGUACGGUGCCGACCGUGUGCUCUACCUCGGCCCGCUUUCCGGCGACCCUCCGAGCUACUUGACCGGCGAGUUCCCCGGCGACUACGGGUGGGACACCGCGGGGCUCUCGGCCGACCCCGAGACCUUUGCCAAGAACCGGGAGCUCGAGGUGAUCCACUGCCGGUGGGCCAUGCUCGGUGCGCUCGGAUGCGUCUUCCCCGAGCUUCUUGCACGCAAUGGUGUUAAGUUCGGUGAGGCCGUGUGGUUCAAGGCCGGCUCCCAAAUCUUCAGCGAGGGUGGCCUCGACUACCUGGGCAACCCCAGCCUCGUGCAUGCACAGAGCAUCCUUGCUAUUUGGGCAUGCCAAGUCGUGCUCAUGGGUGCCGUUGAGGGGUACCGCGUUGCCGGGGGCCCACUUGAGCUCAAGGUGAAGGAAGUCAAGAACGGCCGCCUCGCCAUGUUCUCUAUGUUUGGCUUCUUCGUGCAGGCCAUUGUCACCGGUAAGGGCCCACUCGAGAACCUUGCUGACCACCUCUCCGACCCCGUCAACAACAACGCAUGGGCGUUUGCCACAAACUUUGUUCCCGGCAAGUGA